Passer domesticus (house sparrow) is the source of this 355-nucleotide long non-coding RNA. RefSeq lists it as uncharacterized. Lineage: Eukaryota; Metazoa; Chordata; Aves; Passeriformes; Passeridae. The record is from RefSeq and is a predicted model, not a curated record. The transcript is spliced from 3 exons.
GCAAUGGAAAUGCAGCUUUGGGAUAACCUAACAAAUGGUUGCAAUUUCUGGACCCCUGGCAUGAAAAACAUCCUGGGCUGCUUCACUGAAAGUUGGACUUGGUGGUUUUGGAGGUUCCUUGCAGCAGAGGUGGCACUGUCUCUCCAUCUGACUGAAGAGAGGGCUGUCACCUACACAUUGGAGGAGUUGUGCCUCUGACUUGCUCUGCCACGGCCUGGAUGUGACUCCUUCCUCCAGCCUAAACCCUAAGGCAUCCCUUGGAUUAUUGCACGGAAAGAGAAGAACAGAGAAGGCUCUGCUCAACCCAGCGGGGCAGAUUAAGUGAAAAUUCAAGGUCAUCAACUGCAAAAUAAAG